CCUACGGGUGGCAGCAGUGAGGAAUAUUGGUCAAUGGGCGCGAGCCUGAACCAGCCAAGUAGCGUGAAGGAUGACUGCCCUACGGGUUGUAAACUUCUUUUAUAAAGGAAUAAAGUGAGGCACGUGUGCCUUUUUGUAUGUACUUUAUGAAUAAGGAUCGGCUAACUCCGUGCCAGCAGCCGCGGUAAUACGGAGGAUCCGAGCGUUAUCCGGAUUUAUUGGGUUUAAAGGGAGCGUAGAUGGGUUGUUAAGUCAGUUGUGAAAGUUUGCGGCUCAACCGUAAAAUUGCAAUUGAUACUGGCAGUCGUGAGUACAGUUGAGGUAGGCGGAAUUCGUGGUGUAGCGGUGAAAUGCUUAGAUAUCACGAAGAACUCCGAUUGCGAAGGCGGCUUGCUGGGUCGAUACUGACAUUGAGGCACGAAAGCGUGGGGAGCAAACAGGAUUAGAUACCCGAGUAGUC
RNAcentral lists this ribosomal RNA (460 nucleotides) under uncultured bacterium. Its description in RNAcentral is "partial 16S ribosomal RNA". It matches the Rfam family "Bacterial small subunit ribosomal RNA", at positions 338 to 795 of the family's 1533-position model. The record is from RNAcentral.